GAUGAACGCUGGCGGCGUGCCUAAUACAUGCAAGUCGAGCGAACGGACGAGAAGCUUGCUUUUCUGAUGUUAGCGGCGGACGGGUGAGUAACACGUGGAUAACCUACCUAUAAGACUGGGAUAACUUCGGGAAACCGGAGCUAAUACCGGAUAAUAUUUUGAACCGCAUGGUUCAAAAGUGAAAGACGGUCUUGCUGUCACUUAUAGAUGAAUCCGCGCUGCAUUAGCUAGUUGGUAAGGUAACGGCUUACCAAGGCAACGAUGCAUAGCCGACCUGAGAGGGUGAUCGGCCACACUGGAACUGAGACACGGUCCAGACUCCUACGGGAGGCAGCAGUAGGGAAUCUUCCGCAAUGGGCGAAAGCCUGACGGAGCAACGCCGCGUGAGUGAUGAAGGUCUUCGGAUCGUAAAACUCUGUCAUUAGGGAAGAACAUAUGUGUAAGUAACUGUGCACAUCUUGACGGUACCUAAUCAGAAAGCCACGGCUAACUACGUG
Molecule: ribosomal RNA, 497 nt
Filed under: uncultured bacterium
Lineage: Bacteria
Description: partial 16S ribosomal RNA
Rfam family: Bacterial small subunit ribosomal RNA
Source: RNAcentral